This 5849-nucleotide long non-coding RNA is filed under the name Sus scrofa (pig). Its description in RNAcentral is "lncRNA (ENSSSCG00065056549.1)". Lineage: Eukaryota; Metazoa; Chordata; Mammalia; Artiodactyla; Suidae. The record is from RNAcentral.
CAGCAUAGCAAGAUAUGUAGGUGAGAUGGGCUAAAAAACCAUUAAAAUAAAGACUAGCCAUUGAGGUAAAUUGGAGGUGGUCCAGAGAGUUCCAGAACAGAAUAUUAUGGCCAUUUGUCUGGCAAGCAUGGUUCAUCUAAAAGAAGCUUUGGAAGCAGUACAGUCAUUAUCAAAGUCAGGAGAACAUGGAAACCAUUAGGAUGAUUGUAGGAAUAUUAGUAUAGCCCUUUAGGCUGUAUAAAAUAUACUUACAUGUGCAUUUUUGGUUUGUUCCUUACAUGAUUUAUCCUGAUUGAAUAGAUAGAGGAGGCAAGUUACAGUGUCAAAUUUAAACCCUGAAAGCCCAGUUUGAUUUCAUCCUGGCAGUUUUUGCAGGGAGAAGAGUAUCAGAAUUAAGGUGAGUGUAGCACAUUUUUGCAGGUAGAAAUAAGGUCAUUGGGUUUGAGAGUAUUUUAAAUGGAAAAAGCUGCAAUAGGGUGAAAAAAAAGACCGUUUUUCAUUAUUAUUCCAUAUCACGUAGCUGAACACACAAAUACAUAUAUUUUGAUGAGAGCUUUUAAAAACAGCCUUCACCUUUUUUUUUUUUAAUGUGGGUGGGAUCCUUAUUUGGUUCAUAAAUUGGUCUUUUUAAAUCAUAUUUUAGUUUGUGGCCAAGUAUUUCAAAAUAAAUGUAAACAUCACAUAGCUUUGGUAAUCUUUGCUUAAUGCCUAGUCAGUGUUGUGUAUGUGUGUGCAUACAUAUUUGCAUAUGUCUGUUCACUUCAGUCCUAUAAAGCUUUAGUGUUGUUAAUUGCAAACUACGGUGAUGGAUGCAGUGAUAAAACAACUGAUGUUUCGGUGCGUCUACUUACACUGCAGUUGAUGGGAAGCUUCCAUUUUGUAUAUUUGUGAGUAUGAAUGAGAAAGCAAAGUCUGCCUUGGGAAUUUUAUAAUGAAUAUGAGAGAGAUCCUGCCACAGGUAGUUAUUAAAACGUCCCCUGAAGUCUUUUAUGAUGAAUGAUUGUGGCUGUGUCUGAGUCUCUGACCUUCCCUGAAGCCUCUGUUUUUUAAAGAAAUCAUCACUACCCUAAGCCAUUCACUUAUUAAAAUUUAAAAACUAAAUUCCUACUAAGUUUUAGUUUGUACAGUGCAUAUUCUGAGUAACUCAAAUAAUUUUAUAAAUAUUAUUUGAUGAAGCUGCCCUUCUGAAAAGGAGAAAAUAUGUAUUGAUGAUUUAAUUACUAUUUGUCACCUUUUUGAGGAAGGGUUGAAAUAUAUAUAAAGAAAAAUAGGAAGGAAAAUUUUGCUUAUUAAAAAAGCAAAAGUGUUUUUUUUUUUUUUUUUCUUUUUUUUUUUUUUAGGGCUACACCUGCAGAAUAUGAAAGUUCCUAAACUAGAGGUUGUAUCAGAGCUGCAACUGCCGGCCUACACCACAGCCACAGUCACAGCAGAUCCAGGCUGGUCUGCGACCUAUACCAUAGCUCAUGGCAACGCCAGAUCUUUAACCCACUGAAUGAGGCAGGAGAUUGAACCCGCAUCCUCAUGGAUACUAGUUGGGUUCAUUACUGCUGAGCCACAAUGGGAACUCCAGAUAAGCAGAAGUCUUUUGUUCUGGUCUUUUUCUGUAGGAAAAUGCAUCAUCAUGAAAAACUUAAUACUGAUAGCAGGGAAGAGAAAGAUGAUUAAGAUUCAUGAGAAAGGGGAGGGUUCUUCUCAAACACAGAAGUAGAUAGUCUGGAGUAACUUUAAUAAAGUAUUUAAAGUUUAGUUUAAAAAAUGGGAUUACAUAUUUGCAUGUAAUGAAAAUUUUGCGAAAGCCUGCUGAAUUUAUUUGAAUAGCUUGCCUUAGAGCCUAGAAGAAUAAAGGGGGAACUAAAAUCUAUUGAAUAUUUACUAUAUGCUAGGAAUUAUGGGAUUGUGUUAAUCAUCAUAGGUUAUUUUAUUUGAUUGUCAUAGCAACCUUUCUCACUUUGUAUGUUUGUGUUGUACCUUUAAUUAACAGAUGAGGAAACAAAUACAGAGGUCAGAUAACUUGCUUCUGCGUAUCUGGUUAGAGCUGGGGAUUCACAACACUUGAGAUUUCAAACCCUUCUUACUACUCCUGUCAGAUACCUUGCUGUCUAUCAGUGUCCUGUUAGAUACUCUGUGUUCCUUUGGUGGAUGGCCUAAAUACCCUCUGGUGCUAAUCAUGUCUUUGUAUUUGCCAGCUGUUGCCACAAUAAUGCAACCAUCUGAAAACUCAGUGACACACAACAAAAAGAAUUCUCACUCAGAAGUCUAUGAGUCAGCUGAGCCUCUUCUUAUUGCUGAGAUCCUUGGGUUUGGCUCCAAACUGGGGGGCUCCUUGUAUGUCUUAUUCACCAUGGAUCAGCGCUACUCAAAGCAGAAUUUUCUUUGACGAAAGGAAAACAAGCCCAAUUCCUAAGCACAUUUAAAUCCUGUGCUCAGUGCCACUUCUGCCAGCAGUUCUUUGGGCAGAGCAAGUCAUGUAGUUAAGCUCAAAGUCAAGGAUGGGGAAGAAUACUCUGCCUUUGGUAUAGGUAGGGGAAAUGAGUAUAUUUUGAACAAUAAUUAACACUACCAAACUCUUGAUGGACCCUAUGAAGAAAAUACAACAGGAUAGAAAACUCUUUUUUAUGUAAUAUCUUAUGAGGCAUAUUUAAAUACUCUAAGUUAAUAGUGUCUGUGAGAGAAUUUUUGAUUUUUGUAUCUUAAAACUAAUGUACCUGGAGACUGAACAUUAUUAAUUGGCACCUUACUGAGCUGUAGAUAUCAGAAAUCUUCUCAUACAUAUUGUUUUUAGUCUGGCCUAUUAGAAUGUGCUUUUUUCUGUUUCACUACCCAGAGUGAGGAAAGUACAGUUUAAUGCUAUGUAAAAUAAUUGCCUUUAUUUUUGUCAUUAGUAUUUAUGUAAUGAUAAAGAAUUUAUAUUACUUCCAAUCCAGCAGUUAGGGAAAUUAACAUUUUACUUAGAUCUCAAUUUAGAGCCAGUCAAAUUUGUGAAGAAUGUUAACUAUUUCUUCUUCUUUUUUUUUUUUUUGCUUUCUAGGGUCAUACCCGCGACAUAUAUGGAAGUUCCCAGGCUAGAGGCCGGCAGCUGUAGCUCCGAUUCUGCCCCUCGCCUGGGAAUAUCAAUAUGCCACAGGUGGGGCCCUAAAAAGACAAAAAAAUUAAAAAGUUAAAAAAAAAUUAAAAUGAACUAAUGUUAAGUUUUAUGGUGAGAACUUUAUAAUUCUCAUUUUGAAAUUGUUGGAGACAGGAGUGUUAGAAAGCCAAGACUGAGGAUCACUGUGCCACUAGGUAGGGUGUCAUUGAAAUGGUGAAAAUUUAGGCGAUAGGUACACCAAACCUAAUGUUCUCAUAGAUCCACUUAUAUUUAUAUUAUGUAUUUCUGAAUUACACACGUUUUUAAUAAUAGUACACCUUGGAGCCUAUGUUUUGUUUGAUUCAGCAACACACGUGGUUAGGCCAGGAUGUCUUCUCUUAAGGAUCUUUCGAAUAAAGUAGGGGUUGACACACUGGAUGUUAAUGAGUACUUGAUAUAGUACUUACUAUAUUAUAGUAAUUGAAAAUUAUAACUAAAACUAACCUGUUUCUGUAUUAUAGCAAUGUUUCUUUUAAGUUAGCAGGCGGUGUUUACUUUAAAGGAAUUAAACUCUAAACUUCACUAUGGCAGAGCCCUUGCCUGUCUCAUCCACCACUGUAUCUUCAGCAUAGAAGAAUGAACAAAUGAAUGUUCCUAUAAACCACAGGUCUUCCUUCAUUGUGUGUUUCUAUCUACCCUUCUAGCAGAUUUUAGUUAGUCUCUGUACUCAGAAUUUUAAUGUGAGAACACAAAGCCACAGUGGUUUUGUGUGCAGCAUGUUUUUAAAAGUUUAUUCAGAGAAAUUUGUUAGAAAUUUCACUUAUUAUAAUUCUCUACCAAGAAACUGUUUUUUUUAAAAUUUUGCCUGUGGAAUGAAUUUUUUUUAUUCAUAAAUGAAACAGGUCUGCAGGUUUAUCUUGUGUGGAAAGAGACAAGGGGGGAAGAUUAAUGAGCAACAGAAAAUUACAGAGAAACAGGAGAUAUCUAUCAUAUGUGGAACUAUAGUUUUAUUAUUAACUGUCAGGAUUGUUACACUAGUAACUGUUUAUUAUUAUUAAAGGAUUUUACUUGCUUGAUUUCCUAAAUAAAUUAUUUUUGUUCUUUUAUUUAUGGAAAUAAAAUUUGAUCUUUAAAAAUUAAGAAUUCUUUUUGCGCUUUUAAAUUACUACACAAUUAUUCUAAAAAUGUUCAAAAUUACAAAAAUAUUCAUGUUUACAAAAAAAUUAUUUUGUGUCGUUUUAAUUUUAGUCAUAGCAAGUUUUUCUUUUUUUAAGUGCUAUAUGCUUUGUAGCACAGAAUUAGAUUUCUGUUUUUAAAAAGCACAUAGACUGGUAUACUUUUAAAUGAUAUGAAAUAUUGGUGAUCCCAGGAUAUGUGUAAGUUUUUUUUUUGAUGGCCGACAAUUUAUAUUGAGUAAUUGUUUUAUAGCAGCAAUUUAGCUAGGUAACCUAAUAUAAAUUUAAAUGCAUUUGUUAUAAUAAUAUAUUUUAUCUUUCUUAUUUUCUAAUUGAAGACAAGGGCAAAAGCUAGGUUUCUAUGGAAUUUAAAUUCACUUGGAUAUAGUACUUAAGCAUAUUAGUCAAUUUUUAUCAGAAAAGAUGCACUAGAGCUUUCCUAUUAAGGUUUUAAGGUUAUUGAUUGGAAAAGAGUUUGAAAAUAUCUUUUUGCCCCUAUUUCUCCUAUAUAGACUUCUUGAAGUUUCUCUAAAUUAAAUUUUAAAUGCCAAUUAGGAGGUUGAGUAUACUAAAAUGAAAGCAAAUGCAACCAAAAAUGGCCUCACCUUAUGGUAGUUGGGCUUUUGAGAGAAUAAAUGGAACCUUUGCUCUGAGUGUGGCUUUGAGAAAGAUAUUCAUCUUAAUGAACACAUUAAUUAGAACCAUAACUAUUUAUAAGAUAAUUAGAAAUGAAACUUGGUAAACUGAGCUUUUCCUGCAAUUAAUGGAGGAUUAAUUACUGGAGGUAAUGAAGUGGAUUUUUAAAUGCAUUAAGGUGAAGUACAGAGAUGAGCAAGGCUUUGUGAUAGUUGCAUAAUUAUUUCAGGCUGUUUGAGCAUAGCUCAUAUGAGAUCGUUAAUAAGCAUCAUUGCAUCGUUAUGUAUGCACUUAAAAAGACUUACCACCAAAAUGACUGCCUAAUUAUUUCUAAUUGGCAGGACUCUGUGUAGUCAUUGAGCUGUUUGUAGCCAUUUUAAGGUUCAUUUAACUAUCCUUGGGGCCAUGUGAUAGAUGGAAAAAGCUUCAACUACAUGCUGGCCUUGGCUGGCGCCGUUAAUCAAUUUUGGUGGGCCUCAGUUUAAAUGCAUUUGCUCAUGCAGAGGUCAAAACCUGAAGUAGUCCAAGCAAAGUUUUGCUUUUUGAAGCCACUUGACUGUAUUCAUUAGCAAUUAGUAAAAUAAUUGUGUCUGUCACUGUAUUUGGAUUUCCAUAUGACUUAGUAUUCUUUUAUCACUGUCCCUUCUUAUUCCAUAUUUGCUACACUGGAAACCAAAUAUUCUUCCAACAAACCCUUUUAGCGACUUCAGUGUAGUAGCAUAUGUUCCGAUAUACUACCUUUCUUCAUUCAUUUGUUAGCUUAAACAGUGUAGUACAUUUCAACACAAUCAUCUAAUUUGCUCCUGAUUGAUUGCUGGUGAAAGUUUCUACUGAAGGACAACAUUUUAGGGCUUUUAAGGACAUCUCUAAGGAAUUAGUCAUUAAGCAUUAAGAGAGGAAGUAAGAAGUAGUCAAAUCGAAUUCUGACAUUUACCAGAGUUUUGUAAUUAGAAGCAUCUAUAUCUAAGAUGUUG